This 75-nucleotide transfer RNA is filed under the name Mucilaginibacter conchicola. RNAcentral's name for it is "Mucilaginibacter sp. MYSH2 tRNA-Arg". It matches the Rfam family "tRNA". From Rfam's summary of the family: Transfer RNA (tRNA) molecules are approximately 80 nucleotides in length. Their secondary structure includes four short double-helical elements and three loops (D, anti-codon, and T loops). Lineage: Bacteria; Pseudomonadati; Bacteroidota; Sphingobacteriia; Sphingobacteriales; Sphingobacteriaceae. The record is from RNAcentral.
GCACCCGUAGUUCAAUGGAUAGAAUGUCAGAUUCCGGUUCUGAUGAUAUGAGUUCGAAUCUCGUCGGGUGCACUA